This is a non-coding RNA of Triticum urartu, 348 nucleotides long. Lineage: Eukaryota; Viridiplantae; Streptophyta; Magnoliopsida; Poales; Poaceae. The record is from RefSeq and is a predicted model, not a curated record.
CUAUGAUUACAUUGACAGAGGGCCACUUAUGCAACAUGAGGUUGAUUUACACAAAAAAAUUCUGCUUCGAAGCAAAGUUGAACCACAUAGGAGUAAGUGGGUUGUGAUCAUUGAUAGAACAAUGGUAUCACUAGGACAGCUAGGCGACUCUUUUGAUGCAAAUGGUCAUGUAGAAGCCUACGUUAUCAAUGUCUUCUGCCGCAUACUAUUCAGAAAUAACCACCCAAGACAGUCAAAGAAGCAUUACUUCUUCAGCACAGUCUCUGAGUACUUUCUUGAGAAGUGGGGAAACGAGGGAGCAAGGUUGGCUAUGAGGAAUAGAGCACUUAUUACCUUUGAUGGAGCAGG